UGUAUAAAAAAUAAAAUAAAGAGUAUGUACAUCAUAUAUUUAUAGGCAUAACCUUGUGAUACAAUCCUACUCCUAACGAGUUACGACUUACCAAAUGUACUCCUUCGACCUUAUCUUUUCGUCCAAAAAAAAAAAUACACUGUUUAAGUUUGCGGAGUUUGAUAGGGACAUAAACCUUGUUUUACCGGGUUGAGUACUCCGUAAUUGAUAUAGGAUUUUAUGUACACGGUAAUGUUCUUUGGUGCUUCUGGAACUUCUGGAAUUGCUCAUCUCUCUCUCUUUCAUACAAGGGGAGUAACUCAGCAGAAUCUAACUUCAUCGACCGAUGGAAAUCUUCGUCUCGAGGGGGUUUUCUCGGAUCGUUUGGAUGAAUCUGAUUAUUGUCGAAAAUUGUGUUCCUAAACAAAAUUGACAGCAUUCUUUGUCAAAGCAUCUCACAAACUUUCAACUCAUCUAUGAUGACUGCUAUUCGAUGCAUGUCUUCUGCAAAGCUUUUUGUUGGAGGUCUUUCAUUUGCAACUGAUGGCGCGGCUCAUUGAAGGACGCAUUUGCCAAUUUUGGUGAAUUAGUAGAUGCAAGGGUGUGAGAGAAACACCGAAAGGUCUAGGGGAUUUGGGUUUGUCAACUUUGCAGAUGCUGAAGCUGCAAACAGUGCAUUGUCUGCCAUGAAUGGCCAGGUUCUGAAUGGGCGUAACAUCCGUGUGAGUAUUGCAAAUGAGAGGACACCAGGUCCUCCACAAGGAGGAAGUUGUGGGUAUGGCGGUGGUGGAUAUGGAGGUGGCGGUAAUGGCAGCACUUUUGUGGCAGCUCCUGGAUUGACAAGGCAUGUGCAAUCACUUCAGUGGUGGCCAAUGUUGAAUUCCAUUAUGCCUAUGAAGAAAUAGAUGAAGUGCAAGCAUCCAACACCCUGGAGUGAGUUUGAAAUGGGGAAUGAUUAAUGAGUGCUUAAGGAGGUAAGAGAGAUGCUCGGAUGAAGUCUGAUCCUGCAAGGUGGAAGCCGAGGAAGAAUUCUAUGAAGACAUACCCUGUCAUUUAACGGAUUGGACUUACUGUAUUUAUUUUAUUUUAUGUAUCAUAAUCUGUAAUCUUUUGCAAAAUUUCACUUUUUUUUUAGGGGAUAAGGAGCAGGCUCGGUUUUAAUGGUUUAAAGCCUUAAACUAUUUAUGAUUGAGCUAGCAGUUCAACUGAAGUUUGUUCAUUAGAAGCAGUGCGGAUUACUACGUAUAUUAAUUUCUCCUUUGUUUUAUUGGCUCUCAAAUCUAUGUCAACAGACUUUUACUGGGGUUCCACCUAUUUUGAUACAUGUAUGGAAUAACUUUGUAAUUUUCGUUAUUGCAAUGUUGAGGUUUUAGCACAAUUUAUAAGGUGUUUGCAAUUAGUUUAGUUUUUUAAGUUUUAAACAAUCAUUAUUGGAUGCUUUAAAAUGUAAUCUUAUUUAAAUUUUGUAAAGUUUAAUUAUAUUUGAAGUGUAAGUGUAGUGUGUAACCCAUUGUGAAAA
Molecule: long non-coding RNA, 1498 nt
Organism: Chenopodium quinoa (quinoa)
Lineage: Eukaryota; Viridiplantae; Streptophyta; Magnoliopsida; Caryophyllales; Amaranthaceae
Exons: 8
Source: RefSeq, a predicted model, not a curated record